GAAACGAAGUCUAAAACCCCAUAGGAAAGAAGAAAGGCAUCUUCUUCUUUUGAAACAGGCGUUUGCCUGGGGGACGGAUGGAUCUGCGGUGCAUUAGUUAGUUGGCGAGGUAACAGCUCACCAAGACGAUGAUGCAUAGCCGGCCUGAGAGGGCGAUCGGCCACACUGGGACUGAGACACGGCCCAGACUCCUGCGGGAGGCAGCAGUAGGGAAUUUUCGUCAAUGGGCGCAAGCCUGAACGAGCAAUGCCGCGUGAGCGAAGAAGGUCUUCGGAUCGUAAAACUCUGUUGCGGGGGAAAAAGGAAGGAAAGAGGAAAUGCUUUUCUUUUGAUGGUACCCCGCCAGAAAGUCACGGCUAACUACGUGCCAGCAACCGCGGUAAUACGUAGGUGGCAAGCGUUAUCCGGAAUGAUUGGGCGUAAAGGGUGCGCAGGCUGCGCGUCAAGUCUGAAGUGAAAGGUACGGGCUUAACCGGUACAGGCCUUGGAAACUGGCACGCUAGAGGACAGGAGAGGGCGGUGGAACUCCAUGUGUAGCGGUAAAAUGCGUAGAUAUAUGGAAGAACACCAGUUGCGAAGGCGACCGCCUGGACUGUUGCUGACGCUCAGGCACGAAAGCGUGGGGAGCAAAUAGGAUUAGAUACCCUAGUAGUCCACGCCCUAAACGAUGAGGAGCAGGUGUCGGAGGGAGGACCCCGGUGCCGAAGCUAACGCAGUGACUCCUCCGCCUGGGGAGUAUGCACGCAAGUGUGAAACUCAAAGGAAUUGACGG
RNAcentral lists this ribosomal RNA (772 nucleotides) under uncultured bacterium. RNAcentral's name for it is "bacterial SSU rRNA". It matches the Rfam family "Bacterial small subunit ribosomal RNA", at positions 153 to 916 of the family's 1533-position model. The record is from RNAcentral.